RNAcentral lists this transfer RNA (73 nucleotides) under Ovis aries (sheep). It matches the Rfam family "tRNA". From Rfam's summary of the family: Transfer RNA (tRNA) molecules are approximately 80 nucleotides in length. Their secondary structure includes four short double-helical elements and three loops (D, anti-codon, and T loops). Lineage: Eukaryota; Metazoa; Chordata; Mammalia; Artiodactyla; Bovidae. The record is from Rfam by way of RNAcentral.
UCCCCAGCGGUCCAGUGGUUAAGACUCGGCGUUUCCAAUGCAGGGGGCCUGGGUUCAAUUCCUGGUUGGGGAA